UGGGAAGUCGCCUAAUUGGCAUGGCACCGCUCUUUGAAAGCGGAACAAUGCAGGUUCAAACCCUGCCUUCCCAG
Molecule: transfer RNA, 74 nt
Filed under: Oscillatoriales cyanobacterium
Lineage: Bacteria; Bacillati; Cyanobacteriota; Cyanophyceae; Oscillatoriales
Also listed under: 1 other name
Description: tRNA-Gln
Rfam family: tRNA
About the family: Transfer RNA (tRNA) molecules are approximately 80 nucleotides in length. Their secondary structure includes four short double-helical elements and three loops (D, anti-codon, and T loops). Further hydrogen bonds mediate the characteristic L-shaped molecular structure. tRNAs have two regions of fundamental functional importance: the anti-codon, which is responsible for specific mRNA codon recognition, and the 3' end, to which the tRNAs corresponding amino acid is attached (by aminoacyl-tRNA synthetases). tRNAs cope with the degeneracy of the genetic code in two manners: having more than one tRNA (with a specific anti-codon) for a particular amino acid; and 'wobble' base-pairing, i.e. permitting non-standard base-pairing at the 3rd anti-codon position.
Source: RNAcentral